GACGAACGCUGGCGGCGUGCCUAAUACAUGCAAGUUGAGCGCUGAAGGUUGGUACUUGUACCGACUGGAUGAGCAGCGAACGGGUGAGUAACGCGUGGGGAAUCUGCCUUUGAGCGGGGGACAACAUUUGGAAACGAAUGCUAAUACCGCAUAAAAACUUUAAACACAAGUUUUAAGUUUGAAAGAUGCAAUUGCAUCACUCAAAGAUGAUCCCGCGUUGUAUUAGCUAGUUGGUGAGGUAAAGGCUCACCAAGGCGAUGAUACAUAGCCGACCUGAGAGGGUGAUCGGCCACAUUGGGACUGAGACACGGCCCAAACUCCUACGGGAGGCAGCAGUAGGGAAUCUUCGGCAAUGGACGAAAGUCUGACCGAGCAACGCCGCGUGAGUGAAGAAGGGUUUCGGAUCGUAAAACUCUGUUGGUAGAGAAGAACGCUGGUGAGAGUGGAAAGCUCAUCAAGUGACGGUAACUACCCAGAAAGGGACGGCUAACUACGUG
RNAcentral lists this ribosomal RNA (497 nucleotides) under uncultured bacterium. RNAcentral describes it as "partial 16S ribosomal RNA". It matches the Rfam family "Bacterial small subunit ribosomal RNA", at positions 28 to 507 of the family's 1533-position model. The record is from RNAcentral.